GUUGAUCCUGCGGGAGGUUGCUGCUAUUAGGAUUCGACUAAGCCAUGCAAGUUUACUCACUUCGGUGGGUGGCAGAAUGCUCAGUAACACGUCGAUAAUCUUCCUUUAGGUCAGGCAUAACCUCGGAAAACUGAGGCUAAUUCCUGAUAUGGAAAAAAAAUUGGAAAAUUUUUCCCUCAAAGCUUCGGCGCCUAAAGAUGAGUCGGCGGCCGAUUAGGUUGUUGGUGGGGUAAAGGCCCACCAAGCCGAAGAUCGGUAGGAGCCUUGAAAGAGGUAGCUCCGAGAAGGGCACUGAGGUACUGGCCCUAGCCCUACGGGGUGCAGCAGGCGCGAAACCUUUACAAUGCACGUAAGUGUGAUAGGGGAAUCCUAAGUGCUAAUGUUUUACAUUGGCUUUUUUCAAGAGUAAAUAUCUUGAAGAAUAAGUGGUGGGAAAGACUGGUGCCAGCCGCCGCGGUAACACCAGCGCCACAAGUGGCAACCGCAUAUUAGGCCUAAAGCGUCCGUAGCCGGUCUAAUAAAUCUUUUGUGAAACUGUUGGGCCUAACUCAACAAUGUGCAGAAGACACUAUUAGACUUGGGAACAGUAAGAGUCAGAAGUAUUCUGGGGGGAGCGGUAAAAUGCUAUAAUCCCUAGAGGACUACCAGUGGCAAAGGCGUCUGACUUGGAUGUGUCCGACGGUGAGGGACGAAAGCCAGGGGAGCAAACCGGAUUAGAUACCCGAGUAGUCCUGGCCCUAAACUCUGCGAGCUAGGUGUUACAUAUUCUCCGUGAAUAUGUAGUGUCGUAGCGAAGGUGUUAAGCUCGCCGCCUGGGAAGUAUGGUCGCAAGACUGAAACUUUAAGGAAUUGGCGGGGGAGCACUACAAGGGGUGCGGCGUGCGGUUUAAUCUAAUUCAACGCAGAAAAUCUCACCAGAAGCGACGGCAGGAUGAAAGUCAGAUUGAAGGUCUUACUUGACGAGCCGAGAGGUAGUGCAUGGCCGCCGUCAGCUCGUGCCAUAAGGUGUCCUGUUAAGUCAGGCAACGAGCGAGACCUGUACCUAUAAUUGCUAACAACCUCCGGGAUUGAGCACAUUAUAGGAACUGCCCUCGAAAGGGGGAGGAAGGUGCAGGCUACGGUAGGUCUGUAUGCUCCGAAUCUUCUGGGCUACACGCGCGCAACAAUAGUAGAGACAAUGGGUCGCGACUCCGAAAGGAGGGGCUAAUCCUCGAAACUCUAUUUCAGUCCAGAUUGAGGGUUGGAACUCACCCUCAUGACGCUGGAAUCCCUAGUAAUCAGACGUCAUUAUCGUCUGGUGAAUAUGUCCCUGCUCCUUGCACACACCGCCCGUCAAACCAACCGAGCAGGGCUUGGAUGAGAUUUGGUUUUUUGACCAAUGCGAAUCCAAGCUCAGUGAGGUGGGUUAAGUCGUCACAAGGUA
Molecule: ribosomal RNA, 1423 nt
Filed under: metagenome
Description: bacterial SSU rRNA
Rfam family: Archaeal small subunit ribosomal RNA
Source: RNAcentral